This 5960-nucleotide long non-coding RNA is filed under the name Homo sapiens (human). Its description in RNAcentral is "HSALNT0301177". The record is from RNAcentral. Lineage: Eukaryota; Metazoa; Chordata; Mammalia; Primates; Hominidae.
AGUGGGGCGGCGAGGGAGGCGCCGGGCGGCGGUCCCAGGACCCGCGCGGGCGAGAGGUGGAGGGGCCCGGGCGGCCCCCGAUCCGGCGCGGGCGGCGGGCUGGGGCGAUGGCUGCGUGGAAGCGCGGGCGCGGGCGCGGGCGUGGGCGGUGGGCGGUGGGCGGCAGGGCUGGGGCGAAUCCACCCCUUCCAGCGAGGAGGCCCGGUCUAGGAGGAUGGAAGCCCGGGACGCGCCCGCCCGCAGAACACCGUGCUAAGAUCAACUACAGGCUUUGGGAAUUUAAAUAAAGGAAGAGGAAAGAGAUAGAAUGUUUUGGGACAAAAGGGACAAAAGCAUGUGUGGGAAGGUAAGUGCUGAGGACAGCCAGCAGCAAUAGGGGGUCAUCUCCCCUGGGGAGAGCUGAAGGAAUGAACAGAGGGGAGAGAAACUUGGCUAUCCAGACCCUGGAUGGAGCUGCCACCCCAUGCCCCUGAGAGUUAUCCGCGGGCACCCCUUCCAGAACCUCAGGCAUCACCUUGCAUCCCUCGGGGAAUGGAUCCAUUAGAGAAUCGAUCCUGCCACUGCUGUUUCUACCGUUCCCUCACACUCUGUCUGAAAAGGCGCCACCUUCAGCCCAUACUUCGCAGGGCUUUGAUUCCAAAGGUAGGGGACCUAACAUCAGAUAUAGGAGUUUGGUAAUUUAAAUAAAGCAAAACUUUGCCCCAUUGUUUUAUUUUAUUUCUAUUUUUUAUUUUUUCGAGACUGAGUCUCACUCUGUCACCCAGGCUGGAGUGCAGUGUUGUGAUCUCAGCUCACUGCAACCUCCACCACCCAGGUUCACGCAAUUCUCCUGCCUCAGCCUCCUGAAUACCUGGGAUUGCAGGCACACACCACCAAGCCCGGGGUAAUUUUUGUAUUUUUAGUAGAUGGGGUUUCACUAUGUUGGCUAGGCUGGUCUUGAACUCCUGACCUCAAGUGAUCCGCCCACCUCAGCCUCCCAAAGUGCUGGGAUUACAGGGAUGAGCCACUGCUCUGGGCUGCCCCAUUGUUUUAAUUUGCUGGAGGUUUUUGGGUUUUGGGGGGGAUUUUUUUUGGAGGGAGUUAUUUGUGGUUUGUUUUUUGUUUUUGUUUUUUAAAAAGGAAGGCAUUUAUUUAUUUAUUUAUGAGACAGAGUCUCACUCUGUCGCCCAGGCUGGAGUGCAGUGGCCAUCUCAGCUCACUGCAACCUCCGCCUCCUGGGUUCAAGCAGUUCUCCUGCCUCAGCCUCCCAAGUAGCUGGGAUUAUAGGCACCUGCCACCAUGCCUGGCUAAAUUUUGUAUUUUUAGUAGAGACAGGGUUUCAUCAUGUUGGCCAGGUUGGUCUCGAACUCCUGACCUCAAGUGAUCUGCCUGCCUCAGCCUCCCAAAGUGUUGGGAAUACAGGUGUGAGCCAUCAUGCCUGGACUUUGCUGGAGGUUUAAACAUUUAUUUUGAAUUGUCACAUGAUGUUAAAGAGGACAUGACUUUUAUGUUUUACAAAGGGAGAUGUAAUGUACGGCAAGGCGCAGUGGCUCAUGCCUGUAAUCCCAGCUCUUUGGGAGGCCGAGGCAGGCAGAUCACUUGAGGUCAGGAGUUCGAGACCAGCCUGGCUGACAUGGCAAAACCCUGUCUCUACCAAAAAAUACAAAAAUUAGCCGAGCGUGGUGGCGGGUGCCUGAAGUCCCAGCUGCUCAGGAGACUGAGGUGGGAGAAUCGCCUGACCCUAGGAGGCAGAGGUUGCAGUGAGCCAAGAUCGUACCACUGCACUCCAGCCUGGGCAACAGAAUGAGACCCUAUCUCAAAAAAAAGUGGGGGUUGGGGGAGAGAUGUGCUAAUGUUUUUUAAAAGGCUGAUAAAUCUUGUGCUUGGUCCUGCUUUGGCACAAGAGACACCAUGUUGCACCCUCUGUGGGUCCCUUCCCCUUCCUUGGCAUACAUGCCAGCCCUGUGAUUCUCAGUGUGGCACCCUGUCCGCAAGGCCAUGCCCAGCUCCUAAGCUGAGAGGGUUCUCUGCUGGGCCCUCUGCCACCACUCAUGCCCCAGCCUCCCACCCCAUGAAGGGAGAGAGUUCCACACAGAGGCACCCUCAUAUAAAAAGAACAACAACAAAUUGAUCCCUGCCUCUCCAGCCCCUGCCUGCUGGCUUCACUGUCCCACUCCCUGUUCUUCCACCAUCCCUAUCUCUCCUCUGUGGGCCCCUGUUCAGCGGGCACUGGGGAAACCAGAGGAGCCUUAUAGUUCUGCCAAGGCACCAUGUUGACUCAUGAGGCAGACCCUCAGGUGUACACAGGUUACAGUUGGGGGUGACUUCUGGCUGAGGUGAUCAGAGACAGGGCCUUUCAGGGCAAGAGGGAAGGAUCUGAUGGGCCUGAAAGGCAGGCGUUCCAGGUGGCUGGAGCCUCCCUGCAAAGGCCCAGCCGCAGGAAGAGCACAGCACAUUCCCAUCCCUGCUCCGCGUUCAGGGUUCUGGCACGGCCUUUCCCUGUGGAUAUGGGAAACGCAGUGGGACAGCAGUAGGCCCUUGCGAGGACUCCCGGGGAGCCAGAAGCAUCUGGGUGAAUAUUCCUGGGCAAGAGAGCUGCUUGACAUCCUGCCACAGAGGAGAUCAGGGAAAAUGCCGCGAGGGCCUCAUCCAUCUCACUCACAGUGGCUUCCCCAGUACCUGGCACCUAGUAGAUACUCAAAAAAUAGUCAUUGAAUGAAUGGAAGUCUCCCUAAGAAGAAAUGGUACUUUAUAAAGGCACUGGCUGUCCUUGAAGGGACCAGCUGGCCUCAUUCCCUGAUACUGAGAAUGUCCUGGUCCCAGGGCAAUGAAAAAUAUCCACCCUCGAGUGAAAAGGGUGGGAUUAUGGGGGAGCUGUUUUCACUUUCCAAGCUAUACAUUUUGUAUUGAUGUAACCUGGACAACUGGCAUGCUUCGCUUUUAUAAUCAAAUGAUACAGGAAAUCUAUACACACACAACUCAGGACCUCAAAUGGCUGCAUGGGUGACUUGCCCCUGUGGCUUGUCCUAAAAGGAAGACAGAAUCAUAGACUUAGGUCGAAGCUUGGAGGGCAUCCUGACCCCCCCCAACCUCAAUCCAGCAUCUGCCUGGAUGGGAUGCCUCUUUGCUGAAGGCAACUUUUUGUUUGUGUGGUUCAAGACUAGAAAUCAUGGCUGAGAAUUAAUUGUUACUGGAUAAACAAGAAUGGUUUGGCCCCCCCGGGGAAUGUGGUGGCUCUUGAAUCCAGCAAACAAUAGAUCAGAGCAGAACUCUGUGUCCUGGGGGAAAACAGAAGUGGGAGAGAGAAGAUCAUUAGCUCCCCUGGUGCUGGGCACCAGGAGAGCCCUGUCUGGGGCCUGAAAGCAGAGCUUGAGACCCGGCCUGCAUGCAGGUGGUUCAACUGGGGAAGUGAUUCCAGGGAAACAGAGCAGGAGCCUGGGAAGCUCAAAACAGAGAAGGCAGGAAAGCCGGUAAAUAUGAGGGUUUGUGACGGAGUUGGCCACUGGUGUGGGAGGGGGCCUUGAUCCUGCUGGGACCCUCUGAUGAGCCUUGCAGAAGGCACCUCAGAGCUUUCCACUGGAGGGCUGGCAAAGGUGGGUGUUCGUCCUCCUUUCAUCCUUCCCUGUUGGUUAAGGGUUGCCAGUUGGGGUAUUCUCUCCCUGGCUCUUGUGCAAAGGAGGCUAAGCAGUGAGCGGACUGGGCAGGAAACGAGGGAUCCUCAGUGCAGAUACCUGGCAAGGUGCUGCUGGGGUGUGCCUGCAGCAGUAACGGGAGUGGAGAGGGGGACCGGGGGGAUGUGGCAUGUGAUACUCAAGCAUCCUGUGCAGGGCCCACACCCCUCAUCCAUUCCUGCUGGCUCAGAGGCUCAGCAGUUUGGAUCCUGUCACCUGGAGGAGAGGUGUGUGGUACCCUAGGGAAAGCUGGCUCCCUGGAAUCAGAGAGCUCAGUUUUGAGCAUGGCCUUGAUGAGAGCUGAGCACCUCGGACCAAUUACUCAGCCCCCACAAGCCUGUGUCUCUGUGGUGCAGUGACAGCACUAACCCUUAGUCAGGAUCCUUGUCAGGAAGUAGGGGAUUCAUGGGACCAACAUGGUGGGCAGAUCUCAACAAAUCAACUGGAGUUACCAUUAUCUCACAGCAGACAGCUGAGCAGCCGUGAGCACUUCUGCCCCAGCAUGGCCUGCACAGCUGGCUGGCUGCCUGCCCCCAGUCCCCUCCAUGGCUGCAUCUGGGGCCCCGCGACUCCAGCGCAGUCUUCCUCUAACAGUAUCGACAGCACUGGCCCAUCUGACCCUGUGUCCUCCCUUCUUUGUCUCUGUCCCUGGUCUCUCCCUUCUGCCCCGUGUUGGAGCCUCCCUGACUCUCACAGGGUCACUCCUUGGGCACUGUGGAUGGGUGUAAGAGCGUGUGUGUAGGGCUGUGAAUGUGAGGAGGGGUGUGAGGAAUGUGUGUGGGUGUGAGAGUGGGGAGUGUGUGUGUGUGAGAACGUUCCUUCACAUUUGUGUGUAUGAGUGGAUAUGUGAGUGUGCAUGUCUGAGAAUGUACGUUCAUGUUGGCAUGUGUGUGAGAAUUGUACCUUCAUGUUUGUGUGUGAGCGCGUGUGUGAGAACAUAUGUUCGUGUUUGUGUGUGGGGGUGUAAAUGUGCAUGUGAAAAUGUGCGUUUGCAUUUGUGUGUGAAUGGGUAUGUGAGUGCGAGUGUGUGAGAAUGUUGCUUCAUGUUUGUGUGUGUGUGGGUGUGUGUGAUUGUGUGCGUGUGAGAAUGUACCUUCGUGUUUGUGUGUGCGAGUGGGUAUGUGAGCAUGAUUGUGUGAGAAUGUACUUCACGUUUGUGUGUGUGGGUGGGUGUGAUUGUGUAUGUGUGAGAGAAUGUACCUUCAUGUUUGUGUGAGUGUAAGUGGGUGUGUGUGUGUGAGAACGUACCUUCAUGUUCCUGUGUGUUGGUGUGUGUGAUUGUGUGUGAGAACGUACUUCACGUUUGUGUGGGUGUGUGUGAUUGUGUGAGAACGUACCUUCAUGUUACUGUGUGUGUGUGAUUGUGUGUAUGAGAAUGUACCUUCACGUUUGUGUGAGUGGGUGUGUGAGUGUGAUUGUGUGUGAGAAUAUACCUCCACGUUUGUGUGUGAAUGAGUGUGUGAUUGUGAGAACGUACCUUCGUGCGUGAGUGGGUAUGUGUGGUUGUGUGUAUGUACUUUCACAUUUGUGAGUGUGAAUGGGUGUGUGUGAUUGGGUGUAAGAAUGUACCUUCAUGUUUGUGUGUGUGAGUGGGUGUGUGAGCGUGACUAUGUGUGAGACGUACCUUCACGUUUGUGUGUGAAUGUGAGUGGGUAUGAUUGUGAGUUUGUGAGAACACACCUUUGCGUUUGUGUGUGAUUCUGAGUGGUUGUGUGAGAUUGUGAGAACGUACCUUCAUGUUUGUGUGUGAGUGGGUGUGUGUGAUUGUGAGAACCUACCUUCACGUUUGUGAGUGUGUAUGAUUGUGAGUGUGUGAAAACGAACCUUCACGUGUGUGUGUAAGUGUGCAUGCAUGUGCCUGGGUUGCAUCAUCCGUCCUGGUGGGUGCCCGCCUCACCUCUUCCCUCUCCUCUCCUCGAUCGGUGCCAUCCACACAGGACGUGGGCUCUGCUGGCUGCCCUCGGGUGCUGUUUCUAGGCCCCUGACGCAGGCAGAGGGAAGCGGGCUGAGGAUGCGCAGUGAAGACAUCCAGGCACCCAGGCUGGUGCUGGGCUUGGUUCCGGGUCUUUGCCCCUUGGCAGGUGUGAGCGUCUCCUUGGGAGCAAGGACCAGGGUCCCUGGUUCCUCCUGCCCAGUAUUUGAAACAGAGUGGCUAUUCCACAGUCUGUCAUUGAAAUAAUGUCACCGGCACACUAGCCACAGUGCCAGUAACACCCAUGGGCCCGAUCCCCAGACAGCGGCAGCAGCUCCCCUUCCUGCGCCCCGCCCUGCAGGCACCGCGCGCUGCCUUCUUCCCUUUGGUUUCCGCGG